This 253-nucleotide ribosomal RNA is filed under the name uncultured bacterium. RNAcentral describes it as "partial 16S ribosomal RNA". It matches the Rfam family "Bacterial small subunit ribosomal RNA", at positions 524 to 776 of the family's 1533-position model. The record is from RNAcentral.
UACAGAGGGUGCGAGCGUUAAUCGGAGUUACUGGGCGUAAAGGGCGCGUAGGCGGUUAUAUGAGUGGAAUGUGAAAGCCCUGGGCUUAACCUAGGAAGUGCAUACCAAACGAUAUGACUGGAGUAUGGGAGAGGGUGGCGGAAUUUCCGGUGUAGCGGUGAAAUGCGUAGAGAUCGGAAGGAACGUCGAUGGCGAAGGCAGCCACCUGGCCCAAUACUGACGCUGAGGCGCGAAAGCGUGGGGAGCGAACAGG